Molecule: ribosomal RNA, 520 nt
Filed under: uncultured Glomeromycotina
Lineage: Eukaryota; Fungi; Glomeromycota
Description: SSU rRNA
Rfam family: Eukaryotic small subunit ribosomal RNA
Source: RNAcentral
AGCAGCCGCGGUAAUUCCAGCUCCAAUAGCGUAUAUUAAAGUUGUUGCAGUUAAAAAGCUCGUAGUUGAAUUUCGGGGUCAGUAGGUUGGUCGUGCCACUGGUAUGUACUGGCUCCACUGAUUCCUCCUUCUUGUAGAACCGUAAUGCCAUUAAUUUGGUGUUGCGAGGAAACAGGACUGUUACUUUGAAAAAAUUAGAGUGUUUAAAGCAGGCUAACGCCUGAAUACAUUAGCAUGGAAUAAUGAAAUAGGACGUUCGACCCUAUUUUGUUGGUUUCUAGGAUUGACGUAAUGAUUAAUAGGGAUAGUUGGGGGCAUUAGUAUUCAAUUGUCAGAGGUGAAAUUCUUGGAUUUAUUGAAGACUAACUACUGCGAAAGGCAUUUGCCAAGGAUGUUUUCAUUAAUCAAGAACGAAAGUUAGGGGAUCGAAGACGAUCAGAUACCGUCGUAGUCUUAACCAUAAACUAUGCCGACUAGGGAUCGGAUGGUGUUAAUUUUUUAAUGACUCAUUCGGCGCCUU